CGUAGGGCGCAAGCGUUGUCCGGAAUUAUUGGGCGUAAAGAGCUCGUAGGCGGCUUGUUGCGUCGGUUGUGAAAGCCCGGGGCUUAACCCCGGGUCUGCAGUCGAUACGGGCAGGCUAGAGUGUGGUAGGGGAGAUCGGAAUUCCUGGUGUAGCGGUGAAAUGCGCAGAUAUCAGGAGGAACACCGGUGGCGAAGGCGGAUCUCUGGGCCAUUACUGACGCUGAGGAGCGAAAGCGUGGGGAGCGAACAGGAUUAGAUACCCUGGUAGUCCACGCCGUAAACGUUGGGAACUAGGUGUUGGCGACAUUCCACGUCGUCGGUGCCGCAGCUAACGCAUUAAGUUCCCCGCCUGGGGAGUACGGCCGCAAGGCUA
Molecule: ribosomal RNA, 373 nt
Filed under: uncultured organism
Description: bacterial SSU rRNA
Rfam family: Bacterial small subunit ribosomal RNA
Source: RNAcentral